UGGGGAAUAUUGCACAAUGGGGGAAACCCUGAUGCAGCGACGCCGCGUGAAGGAAGAAGUAUUUCGGUANGUAAACUUCUAUCAGCAGGGAAGAAAAUGACGGUACCUGACUAAGAAGCCCCGGCUAACUACGUGCC
This 137-nucleotide ribosomal RNA is filed under the name uncultured bacterium. RNAcentral describes it as "partial 16S ribosomal RNA". It matches the Rfam family "Bacterial small subunit ribosomal RNA", at positions 355 to 509 of the family's 1533-position model. The record is from RNAcentral.